This 692-nucleotide ribosomal RNA is filed under the name Inocybe papillata. RNAcentral describes it as "eukaryotic LSU rRNA". It matches the Rfam family "Eukaryotic large subunit ribosomal RNA", at positions 32 to 698 of the family's 3401-position model. Lineage: Eukaryota; Fungi; Basidiomycota; Agaricomycetes; Agaricales; Inocybaceae. The record is from RNAcentral.
ACUUAAGCAUAUCAAUAAGCGGAGGAAAAGAAACUAACAAGGAUUCCCCUAGUAACUGCGAGUGAAGCGGGAAGAGCUCAAAUUUGAAAUCUGGCAGUUUGUUGACUGUCCGAGUUGUAAUCUAGAGAAGUGUUUACCCGUGCUGGACCGUGYACAAGUCUCCUGGAAUGGAGCAUCAUAGAGGGUGAGAAUCCCGUCUUUGGCAUGGACUACCUGCACACCAUGGGUGCGCUCUCGAAGAGUCGAGUUGUUUGGGAAUGCAGCUCAAAAUGGGUGGUAAAUGCCAUCUAAAGCUAAAUAUUGGCGAGAGACCGAUAGCGAAUAAGUACCGUGAGGGAAAGAUGAAAAGCACUUUGGAAAGAGAGUUAAACAGUAUGUGAAAUUGCUGAAAGGGAAACGCUUGAAGUCAGUCGCGUCAGCUAGAAAUCAGCCUUGCUUCUGCUUGGUGUACUUUCUGGCUUUGACGGGUCAGCAUCAGUUUCGACCACUGGAUAAAGUCGUUGGGAAUGUGGCAUCUUUUUGGAUGUGUUAUAGCCCAUUGUCGCAUGCAGUGGUUGGGAUUGAGGAGCUCAGCACGCCGCAAAGGCUGGGUCUACGGACUACAUUCGUGCUUAGGAUGCUGGCAUAAUGGCUUUAAUCGACCCGUCUUGAAACACGGACCAAGGAGUCUAACAUGCCUGCGAGUGUUUGGG